AAGAUUCCAUGUGCUCCAGGAGCAACAAAGAGGAGACCCUAGCGGAUGGAUGAGCCAGCACUUUGAAGAGCUGGGUCCCGAUGCCAACAAUAAGGGAUGGAAACACAGGCCUGGGAAUGAAGCGUCUAAGACUGAGCUGCAAAGAGAUGCGUCCCAGGCAGAGGACCGGACGUGGGUGUGUACAAGAGCCAGGGUCUUAGAGAACAGAGGCCAGAUCCCCGGCUGGGAUUGGCCACUGAUCAGCUGUGUGGCCUUGGCUGAGUCACAUGGCCUCUCUCACCCUGUGCUUCCCUCUCUGGGAAAUGGAGUGAAUGAUCUUUCACACGAGUGCGGGAGGAAGUCACUAUGGAUGCACUAGGCCUUUCCGGUCUCUGAGGACCCAUCCUCACGGCCCUCGACCCGAUGGAGACCCUUAACUGCCACCCACCCGAGGCGUCCCCAGUGUCCCUCCCCCAGCGGUCCCUUCCCCCACUCCUCUGCCCAAAGGAGGGAAACCCAUUUCCCUGGGAACAGCUGUGUUUCCUCAACAAACAAAUGUUCCCUUUAAACGGUUCUGAGGAGGAGCGGAUGGUAAUGAGCGAACAUCUGGCCCGGCGGCACACUUUCGUUUUUGGCAGCUCUGGAGCCCGCCAAGUGACUAUUCCCUAAUGUUCACCGCGUCCCAGCACCUGUUAUUCCCAAUCAGGCUUGUACCAGUACGCCUCAAUUAAGAGCAGAUGCGGGGCUGAGCGCGGGGAGAGAGAACCCCCUUCCCCAACGUCCCUCUGCUCUGCCCCGGCUCGGGAGAGGUGGUCUGAAAACAGCAAGGGCACCAGCCUCUGCCUUUGCCCUUCCUCCUCGCCCCUUCCCCGCCCCCUCCCUGCCUCCUUCCCGCUCUGCCUCCCUGCUGCCUGCCUCCUUCCUUUCUUCCUUCCACCCUUCCCUCUUGCCUUCCCUCUCUCUCCCCUUCCUUCCUCCCUCCCUUCCUUCCUUCCUUCCUUCCUUCCUUCCUUCCUUCCUUCCUUCCUUCCUCCCUCCUCCCUCCCUCCCUCCCUCCCUCCCUCCCUCCCUCCCUUCCUUCCUUCCUUCCUUCCCUCCCUCCCCCCCCCCCCUUUGCUUCCUUCUUUCCUUCCCUCCCCCAGCUACCUGUGUUGCCGCCUUUGGGGAUGCAGAUCUGGGUGACACAUUCUUGCCCUCUAGUGACCCACAAGGUCCUAACCGACACGCGUCCUCCUUGCAACACGGGGGUCCGCCAACUUGUCUCUGAAGGGCCAGGUGAUAGGGAGGGGGCUCUGCAGGCCGCACGGUCUCCGUCACAGCUGCCCAACUCGGUAGCUGUGGCACCAAAGCAGCCACGGACGAUACGUGCGUGAAUGAGC
RNAcentral lists this long non-coding RNA (1358 nucleotides) under Felis catus (domestic cat). RNAcentral's name for it is "lncRNA (ENSFCAG00000043437.2)". The record is from RNAcentral. Lineage: Eukaryota; Metazoa; Chordata; Mammalia; Carnivora; Felidae.